Molecule: non-coding RNA, 189 nt
Organism: Pogona vitticeps (central bearded dragon)
Lineage: Eukaryota; Metazoa; Chordata; Lepidosauria; Squamata; Agamidae
Source: RefSeq, a predicted model, not a curated record
UGCAUUUGGUGGGAAGAGAAAAAUAUGAAUGGAGAGGCAGAAGGGGAAAGAGAAGAGGCAGAUAAUUGGCUUUCUCUUUGUCAGCUGAGUCACAAUCCCAAAGGACAACCUGGACAUCACAACAGGUUUCUCAUUUCUUGUGAAGUAAUUUCACCAAGAGACACAGAACAUUUCAAGCAGAAGUUGCAU